RNAcentral lists this transfer RNA (73 nucleotides) under Paramuricea clavata. It matches the Rfam family "tRNA". From Rfam's summary of the family: Transfer RNA (tRNA) molecules are approximately 80 nucleotides in length. Lineage: Eukaryota; Metazoa; Cnidaria; Anthozoa; Malacalcyonacea; Plexauridae. The record is from Rfam by way of RNAcentral.
GACCGCGUAGCUCAGUUGGCAGAGCAUUGGGCUAGUAUUCCAAAGGUCUUAGGUUCGAUUCCCAUCGUGGCCA